This 73-nucleotide transfer RNA is filed under the name Ictidomys tridecemlineatus (thirteen-lined ground squirrel). Its description in RNAcentral is "Spermophilus tridecemlineatus (thirteen-lined ground squirrel) tRNA". It matches the Rfam family "tRNA". Rfam says of the family: Transfer RNA (tRNA) molecules are approximately 80 nucleotides in length. Their secondary structure includes four short double-helical elements and three loops (D, anti-codon, and T loops). Lineage: Eukaryota; Metazoa; Chordata; Mammalia; Rodentia; Sciuridae. The record is from Rfam by way of RNAcentral.
GGGGAUAUAUCUCAGUUGGUAGAGUGCUUGCCUUGCAUGCAGAAGGCCCUGGGUUCGAUCCCCAACAUCCCCU